RNAcentral lists this ribosomal RNA (426 nucleotides) under uncultured bacterium. RNAcentral's name for it is "partial 16S ribosomal RNA". It matches the Rfam family "Bacterial small subunit ribosomal RNA", at positions 354 to 796 of the family's 1533-position model. The record is from RNAcentral.
GUGAGGAAUUUUCCGCAAUGGGCGAAAGCCUGACGGAGCAAUGCCGCGUGAAGGAUGAAGGCCUAUGGGUUGUAAACUUCUUUUCUCAGAAAAGAAUUAUGACGGUAUCUGAGGAAUAAGCAUCGGCUAACUCUGUGCCAGCAGCCGCGGUAAGACAGAGGAUGCAAGCGUUAUCCGGAAUGAUUGGGCGUAAAGCGUCUGUAGGUUGUUUAAAAAGUAUUCUGUCAAAGAUUAGGGCUUAACCCUAGAUAGGCAGAAUAAACUUUUAAGCUAGAGUUUGGUAGAGGCAGAGGGAAUUCCUGGUGGAGCGGUGAAAUGCGUAGAUAUCGGGAGGAACACCAAAGGCGAAGGCACUCUGCUGGGCCAAUACUAACACUGAGAGACGAAAGCGAGGGGAGCAAAUGGGAUUAGAUACCCUGGUAGUCC